Molecule: ribosomal RNA, 507 nt
Filed under: Paenibacillus sp. NF3
Lineage: Bacteria; Bacillati; Bacillota; Bacilli; Caryophanales; Paenibacillaceae
Description: bacterial SSU rRNA
Rfam family: Bacterial small subunit ribosomal RNA
Source: RNAcentral
AGGUCCGCUUCUAUAAUGCAGUCGAGCGGGGUUAUUUAGAAGCUUGCUUCUAACUAACCUAGCGGCGGACGGGUGAGUAACACGUAGGCAACCUGCCCACAAGACAGGGAUAACUACCGGAAACGGUAGCUAAUACCCGAUACAUCCUUUUCCUGCAUGGGAGAAGGAGGAAAGGCGGAGCAAUCUGUCACUUGUGGAUGGGCCUGCGGCGCAUUAGCUAGUUGGUGGGGUAAAGGCCUACCAAGGCGACGAUGCGUAGCCGACCUGAGAGGGUGAUCGGCUCAACUGGGACUGAGACACGGCCCAGACUCCUACGGGAGGCAGCAGUAGGGAAUCUUCCGCAAUGGGCGAAAGCCUGACGGAGCAACGCCGCGUGAGUGAUGAAGGUUUUCGGAUCGUAAAGCUCUGUUGCCAGGGAAGAACGUCUUGUAGAGUAACUGCUACAAGAGUGACGGUACCUGAGAAGAAAGCCCCGGCUAACUACGUGCCAGCCGCCGCGGGUAAUAU